GCCUUGUGUACUGGGUACGACCUUUUUAAAGUAAUUAUACAAAUGCUAGCGUUGUGCCGUUUGUUAUAGUUGUAUCAGUGGUCUGCAAGUUACUUUUGUUCCUUUGUCAUGAUUGAUAUCAUUUUUGUGGUGGUAAAUUCUUGUCAACUACAGAGACUGGAAGAUGAAGGAGAGGCAUAAAGUUUUGGAAGGAAAAACACUCAAGGGGAUCUCUUGCUAGGUCCGACAGAGAAGCACUGGUCUAAUGUAGUAUUGUAGACUAUAUAAAUGUCUGAUCAUGUAUAUGUGUUUAAUUACUCCAAAUGAAGUACAUUACAAUCUCAAAGAUUCCAAAUAAGUGUUUUUCAUUUUGUAAAUUAUGAAUUGUAACAUUGGUUUGAAUUUCAUUUUAGUUUGGAACCUGUAGUACAAUUUCACAUGAAUUUUUUUUGUUGAAGCUGUUAAAAAAAUAUUGUCAUUGGCGUCCAAUUUGACGCCCAAUAUUUUUUUUUAAACCUGGUGGCAAUUAUUUGCGACACGUUACUUGCCGUUGCAAACCCGUAGUAAAUCGUAUUUGCGUCGCACUCACAGUGUCGCAUAUAAUCGACCAACAUUUACGAUGCAUAGUUAUUGCGAUGUGUUACUUGCCGUCGCAAGCCCGUCGUAAAAGGUAUAUU
This 656-nucleotide long non-coding RNA is filed under the name Malus domestica (apple). RNAcentral describes it as "long non-coding RNA (MDOM_LNC005062)". The record is from RNAcentral. Lineage: Eukaryota; Viridiplantae; Streptophyta; Magnoliopsida; Rosales; Rosaceae.